Molecule: non-coding RNA, 28 nt
Filed under: Bombyx mori (domestic silkworm)
Lineage: Eukaryota; Metazoa; Arthropoda; Insecta; Lepidoptera; Bombycidae
Source: RNAcentral
UAACUGAUGUACAUAUAAUGUACCAGUU